RNAcentral lists this long non-coding RNA (670 nucleotides) under Mytilus galloprovincialis (Mediterranean mussel). Lineage: Eukaryota; Metazoa; Mollusca; Bivalvia; Mytilida; Mytilidae. The record is from RNAcentral.
UUUGUCUUUUGCAGAAUUUUUAUUCACUGGGUUUUUCUACUGCUUCCAAGUGACUUGACAUGUAGGAAGUCUGCAUUAUCAUGUAAGCAUUCAAAUAUUAUAUUAUUGUUACUGACACUUAUUUUAUAGUCACAUGAAGUGAUAUGAAAGCUAUUUAAAGAUUAAUUGCUUAUGAGUUUAGAUUAAUCUAUUUGUUAAGAAAGUAAACAAACAUGGCAAUUAUUUUAUUACAAACAUGUAAGUUUACUAUUGGUUUUACCAACCACUGCUUAUAGGCUAUUAAGCUUACUCAAAUUUGAUUAUAUUGAAGUUCUCUUUUUGUAUCAGAAUAAGAAUAAGAUAAUUUUAUGUUCAAAAUAUUAAUAACAGGGCACAUUAAGAGCAUAUAUUAUAUAAAUCAAGUGCAAUGAUUGAAGUAAUAGAUAUUAUGCAUAUAUAUAGCAAUGCAAUGGGGCUUAUAAAUUAAUUAUAUUGUGUAUAAUAAUAAUAUUAAUUUUUUUUGCAGGAUUUUAAGAUGAAUGAGAAACAAUGGCUACUUCCAAUACAAUAGCACAUUUGAUAAAAUGAAUAAGACACAAGGACUGCACUUUUCAUUCUAAGGAAGAUCAACAAAUGAAACCCAAACAAGGAUAUUAUUUUCAUAUCAGAUUCCUGUACAUGAGAUAUAAAG